RNAcentral lists this ribosomal RNA (775 nucleotides) under uncultured Neocallimastigales. RNAcentral's name for it is "partial large subunit ribosomal RNA". It matches the Rfam family "Eukaryotic large subunit ribosomal RNA", at positions 26 to 629 of the family's 3401-position model. The record is from RNAcentral. Lineage: Eukaryota; Fungi; Neocallimastigomycota; Neocallimastigomycetes; Neocallimastigales.
CGCAUCUGUGCAUGCAGCAUAUCAAUAAGCGGAGGAAAAGAAACUAACAAGGAUUCCCUUAGUAACGGCGAGUGAAGCGGGAAGAGCUCAAAUUUGAAAUCUUCAAGGUUUUACCUUGACGAAUUGUAGUUUAAAGAAGUGUUUUCUGUUGAAGUUUUGGUAAAAGUUCUUUGGAAUAGGACAUCAUAGAGGGUGAGAAUCCCGUAUUUGACCAUUAUUUUCAGCUGUGUGAUACACUUUCAAAGAGUCAGGAUUGUUUGGGAAUGCAGUCCAAAAUGGGUGGUAAAUUUCAUCUAAAGCUAAAUAUUGGCGAGAGACCGAUAGCGAACAGGUACCGUGAGGGAAAGAUGAAGAGAACUUUGAAAAGAGAGUUAAACAGUACGUGAAAUUGUCAAAAGGGAAGCGUUUGACACCAGUGUUGUUUUCUCGAAAAUCAAUUAAAAAGAGUUUGAUUUUGUUGUGUACUGACCUUAACAGCUUGCAUUUCAAUUUUCUUGCUUUUUUUAAUGCACUUUUCGUUUAACAAGUCAACAUCAGUUUCUUUUGUUGUAAAAAGGUCAUUGGAAGGUGGCUUUCUUUUCGGAGAAAGUGUUUAUAGCCUUUGACUCCUGCAAUCGGAGAGACUGAGGUCUGCAGCGUAGAUCCUUCGGGGUUAGAUACAUUUGUGCUAAGUUAUAGCUUUUUAUAGACAACUUGUUGACUAUGAUUAGUCUUGUAGCUUACUCGCUUAUGCUAUUUUACCUACGCUUAGGAUGUUGAUGUGAUACUGCGAGCA